AACGAACGCUGGCGGCAGGCCUAACACAUGCAAGUCGAACGCCGUAGCAAUACGGAGUGGCAGACGGGUGAGUAACACGUGGGAACGUACCCUUCGGUUCGGAAUAACUCAGGGAAACUUGAGCUAAUACCGGAUACGUCCGAGAGGAGAAAGAUUUAUCGCCGAGGGAUCGGCCCGCGUCUGAUUAGCUUGUUGGUGAGGUAACGGCUCACCAAGGCGACGAUCAGUAGCUGGUCNGAGAGGAUGAUCAGCCACAUUGGGACUGAGACACGGCCCAAACUCCUACGGGAGGCAGCAGUGGGGAAUAUUGGACAAUGGGCGCAAGCCUGAUCCAGCCAUGCCGCGUGAGUGAUGAAGGCCCUAGGGUUGUAAAGCUCUUUUACCCGGGAAGAUAAUGACUGUACCGGGAGAAUAAGCCCCGGCUAACUUCGUGCCAGCAGCCGCGGU
Molecule: ribosomal RNA, 447 nt
Filed under: uncultured bacterium
Lineage: Bacteria
Description: bacterial SSU rRNA
Rfam family: Bacterial small subunit ribosomal RNA
Source: RNAcentral